GACGAACGCUGGCGGCGUGCCUAAUACAUGCAAGUUGAGCGCUGAAGGUUGGUACUUGUACCAACUGGAUGAGCAGCGAACGGGUGAGUAACGCGUGGGGAAUCUGCCUUUGAGCGGGGGACAACAUUUGGAAACGAAUGCUAAUACCGCAUAAAAACUUUAAACACAAGUUUUAAGUUUGAAAGAUGCAAUUGCAUCACUCAAAGAUGAUCCCGCGUUGUAUUAGCUAGUUGGUGAGGUAAAGGCUCACCAAGGCGAUGAUACAUAGCCGACCUGAGAGGGUGAUCGGCCACAUUGGGACUGAGACACGGCCCAAACUCCUACGGGAGGCAGCAGGAGGGAAUCUUCGGCAAUGGACGAAAGUCUGACCGAGCAACGCCGCGUGAGUGAAGAAGGGUGUCGGAUCGUAAAACUCUGUUGAUAGAGAAGAACGUUGGUGAGAGUGGAAAGCUCAUCAAGUGACGGUAACUACCCAGAAAGGGACGGCUAACUACGUG
This 497-nucleotide ribosomal RNA is filed under the name uncultured bacterium. Its description in RNAcentral is "partial 16S ribosomal RNA". It matches the Rfam family "Bacterial small subunit ribosomal RNA", at positions 28 to 507 of the family's 1533-position model. The record is from RNAcentral.